CCUACGGGAGGCAGCAGUGGGGGAUAUUGCACAAUGGGGGGAACCCUGAUGCAGCGACGCCGCGUGGGUGAAGAAGCGCCUCGGCGCGUAAAGCCCUGUCAGCAGGGAAGAAAAUGACGGUACCUGAAGCAGAAGCCACGGCUAACUACGUGCCAGCAGCCGCGGUAAUACGUAGGGGGCAAGCGUUAUCCGGAUUUACUGGGUGUAAAGGGGGCGCAGACGGCGAUGCAAGCCAGGCGUGAAAGCCCGGGGCCCAACCCCGGGACUGCUCUUGGAACUGCGUGGCUGGAGUGCAGGAGGGGGAGGCGGAAUUCCUGGUGUAGCGGUGAAAUGCGUAGAUAUCAGGAGGAACACCGGUGGCGAAGGCGGCCUGCUGGACUGCAACUGACGUUGAGGCGCGAAAGCGUGGGGAGCAAACAGGAUUAGAUACCCCAGUAGUC
Molecule: ribosomal RNA, 440 nt
Filed under: uncultured bacterium
Lineage: Bacteria
Description: partial 16S ribosomal RNA
Rfam family: Bacterial small subunit ribosomal RNA
Source: RNAcentral